Molecule: transfer RNA, 55 nt
Filed under: Acinetobacter baumannii 1036938
Lineage: Bacteria; Pseudomonadati; Pseudomonadota; Gammaproteobacteria; Moraxellales; Moraxellaceae
Also listed under: 5 other names
Description: partial tRNA-Asn
Rfam family: tRNA
About the family: Transfer RNA (tRNA) molecules are approximately 80 nucleotides in length. Their secondary structure includes four short double-helical elements and three loops (D, anti-codon, and T loops). Further hydrogen bonds mediate the characteristic L-shaped molecular structure. tRNAs have two regions of fundamental functional importance: the anti-codon, which is responsible for specific mRNA codon recognition, and the 3' end, to which the tRNAs corresponding amino acid is attached (by aminoacyl-tRNA synthetases). tRNAs cope with the degeneracy of the genetic code in two manners: having more than one tRNA (with a specific anti-codon) for a particular amino acid; and 'wobble' base-pairing, i.e. permitting non-standard base-pairing at the 3rd anti-codon position.
Source: RNAcentral
AUAGCUCAGUCGGUAGAGCGACGGACUGUUAAUCCGCAGGUCCCUGGUUCGAGCC